UCGGUCCCUCCUGUUGCCAAAUAUUUUACGAGUUUUGUCUAUCCAGACGUCUCAAAAAUUCAGAAACGCUUGGACGAAAUCUAGGACAUCAUGUGAAAUGAUCAAAAGUCGUGACACGCAUCCACAUCCUCAUUAAACUGAAUUAAAAAGCACCAAUGGAAACCGACUUCACCUACGUUACAAAACGUCUGAAUUUUGCUCUUGAACUCAUAUUUUCAUUCCGAAAUGACAGAAUUUCGACGAUCUAUAUUGAAAUUAAUUGGGUUCCAAGUACGAAAAGUCGCGUCUUGUGAGAAGAGUGAGGACGAAUUAAUUUUUAGCACAUUUAGGGGGCCUGAUUCACAUACAAAUUGUUUAAUUAUAGCUCGGCUAAAAUUCAAGUGAGACAAUGUGGCUUAUCGACGAUUAAGUUUAUGAUGGGUUGAUAACAUUUUACGUUUAUUGUUCAGGUGGGUUGAGUGCGAUUUAUCAGACGAUUUACCUGAACAAAUGACACAAUUAUACGUGCAAAAUGAUACUACAUAGCUUUACUUAAAAUUAUAUUGAAUAAACAGAAAAUUCAUAAUCAGGCAUUUACUAAUUUAAAUUAUAAACAGCAACAUACUUGUGAACACACAUUUUCUUCAGUGGAAAAUUACUCCUCAAGAAAGUAAACAACUAUUCCGAUAGCACUCAAAGGUGAAAAAGUCGUCCCAAAAGCUUAAAACAUUCCAGAUUUAUUCUAUAUUUAAGACUUCUAAAUAAUAAGUGCAUUAAUAGACUAAUACAAUUUUUACCUUUUCAAGGUUGGCGUUUCUAUCACAUUUUAGCAAUAAUAGUGCCAAGACUACAAAACUUCUCAAUUUUUUUUCAAAAAUGCCAUUUUUUCAAAUUUCCAAUCACUAUAGUAAACCGUAGGAGUUAGAACAUUAGUUAUUAAAUACUAACAGGUGGGCUAAAAGUAGUCGGAAUAUUUUUAGUAUUACUUUCCAAUUUAUCACUUUACUACAUACUUUGGUUUAAAUUUGGACAUUAUCUAAAAUUAUCAAUAAUUUUGCUUUAUCCUGUUUUUCAUAUUUUAUUGAUUUUUCUUCCAAAAUAAACGUACAAUACGUAAAAGAUUAGUUAAGAAAUUUACUGCUGUAUUCUUACAUUGGCGAAAGCAUAUGGCGAAAGGUGGAUGCGGAAUUUUAAUUAAUAUCUUAAAAUGUAAAAGUGUAUCUUUGAAAAUAUUCUUUAUUUUGUUGAACACCGUAUUAUAUCGUUUCUAAGACAAAUUUAAAGUCAAAGAUAUAAUCAUACAGUGAAGAUUUUAUUAUCCUAAUUAUUGGCGUUUCUAUGAAACUGUUUGCAUUUGCAAUGCACUGACAUGGACUUUUUAAAACUGAAUAAAUAAUUUAUUUUUUGGCGUAAAGUUCAGCGGAAUAAACUCUUCACUAUGUAAUGCAGAAGAUCUAAGAACUUUAAUAAUGCAAUGAUAUGAUUUUUUUUUAAUUAAACAUAGGAUUUAUAGGAUUUAUUAUGUGAUGUUCAAUAAGAUAAAAACCUCAGUGUAUGAGUUCUGUUACUUUUAGCCCAUACGUUAUUGUAUGUAAAAAAAAUUAAAGAAAGAUUAGUUUUUCGCAACUAAAAACAAUAAUUACUAACUUAUUUGUCAAGUCCUAGCCUGUGUCAUGCUAGUUUCAUUCACAAGGUAUGUAAUAAUUAUCAAAGUUACCAGAAUAACACCCAAUACAAAUAUUUACUUCUUUUCAAACGUAUAAAUUAAACAACAAUAAACAACACUAUUGUCAAUAUCUGUUUUCGCAGUAAAUUGUAACUUUUCAUUUCAAAUUAUACUAAAGAAAAAAUGACACAUAAUUUAUUAUUGAAACCAGUAACAGUUAAAAUAAAUAAUAAAUUACCAGCUGUACACUAACAAAUUACGUGACCAUUCAUACCGUUUAAAGGUUUUACGUGAAAACAAUAAUUAUUAACUUAUGAUUGUGUUGUUUGUUAUACGAAAAAAUUUGUGUUCGACCAAAUUGACGGCCAAACGUUAAAAAGAGCCAAUAAAACUUCAACCACGCAAAUAAAUCAAAGCAAUCACAAUUUGGCUAGUGUUUAAUUUCUUUUUCUAUUUCAAGAUUUGUUUACUACGCGAAACAUUUUAAACCAAAUCACUUUUUUUCAGUAUCUCUUGAUUAACAUUGACGCAAAUUUUCUAAAAGGAUGCGAUUUGCAACAAUGACCUUUGCGAUUUAGCACACCAUUAUGAAAUGAAAAUCAACAAAUAUUCGAGUUAAAAAAUAUAUUUCACAGUAAGCAUACAGUUUUUAUCAUACAAUUAAGUAUAAAACAAACAUGAAUACAUGCUACAUUUAGUAAAAUCGUCCUUACAUAACGCGACAAAAGCGUGAUUUGGACAAGUGCACAAAUUUUACGUUAUCUAAGGCUGAUGACGCACUUGUUUCGGCGCAAAAUUUCAUUACCGCAAAACCAAUUACAACUCACCGAAAGCUCCAUAAUAACAAAACCUAGCACUUCACGACUAACACGACGUUUCAAAUAAAAUGUUUC
Tribolium castaneum (red flour beetle) is the source of this 2538-nucleotide long non-coding RNA. RefSeq lists it as uncharacterized. Lineage: Eukaryota; Metazoa; Arthropoda; Insecta; Coleoptera; Tenebrionidae. The record is from RefSeq and is a predicted model, not a curated record. The transcript is spliced from 2 exons.